This 253-nucleotide ribosomal RNA is filed under the name uncultured bacterium. Its description in RNAcentral is "partial 16S ribosomal RNA". It matches the Rfam family "Bacterial small subunit ribosomal RNA", at positions 524 to 776 of the family's 1533-position model. The record is from RNAcentral.
UACGUAGGGGGCAAGCGUUGUCCGGAAUUAUUGGGCGUAAAGCGCGCGCAGGUGGUCCUUUAAGUCUGAUGUGAAAGCCCACGGCUCAACCGUGGAGGGUCAUUGGAAACUGGGGGACUUGAGUGCAGGAGAGAAGAGUGGAAUUCCACGUGUAGCGGUGAAAUGCGUAGAGAUGUGGAGGAACACCGAUGGCGAAGGCAGCCCCCUGGGCUGAGAUUGACGCUCAGGCACGAAAGCGUGGGGAGCAAACAGG